Thamnophis elegans (Western terrestrial garter snake) is the source of this 1256-nucleotide long non-coding RNA. RefSeq lists it as uncharacterized. The record is from RefSeq and is a predicted model, not a curated record. NCBI's taxonomy places the organism in Eukaryota, Metazoa, Chordata, Lepidosauria, Squamata, Natricidae. The transcript has 5 exons.
CCCAACAUCUGGAAGUAUGUGACCCCCCUUUUCUGUUCAGGAGCUCAAGUCAUGUGGUCCUGUCCACCAUUAAACCAUCUUUCCAAGCAGCCUCCAUGUCACCAAUGUCUUUUUCCCCACUUGGAGCCGAACCCAGAAGGACAUUUCUUCCAACAGACUGAUGGGAUCUGUAGCAUAUCUUCCCUGCCUGACCAGUGCCAUCUACACUGGGAAGUCCAAUCACCAACUGCUCGGUGAACAUGCAACAUACUGUAGGAAUAGAAUACAGAAUACCAGAGUUGGAAGGGAGCUUGGAGGUCUUCUAGUCCAACCCACUGCUCAAGCAGGAGAUCCUAUGCCAUUCUGGGAAAUUUCUCCUUAGUUCUAUAUUGGAUCUCGCCUUGAUACGUUCCCAUCCUUGGUUCAUCUUCUGCUUCCUGGUGUUUUGGAGAAUAGGUUGGCUCCAGCAGUGAAAUCCUCUGAAGUCUGCUACUGAGUAUGCACUUUGCACGUAUGUGCUAAAAAAGGAAUAUUUUGAAGCCUUCCGAGUCUGCAAAGAUAAAGAAAAGUAAAGACUGAGGUGCCUUGGUGCUGUUCUUGCAGACAUUUCAUUAUCCAAACUAGAUUGGAAAGGAUCUGCCAAGUGAAUUAAGAGGAGAGGCACCAACAACAUUUUCAACAUUGAACACCAAGAGGGAGGCUUCAUCUGUUCCAGUUGUGUUUACCAGCUUCUUUGAGCACAAGCUGUAUUAUCUGAUCAAUCUAAAGUGGACCAAGCCCCGGGGUGAGAGCCACCAGUGGUGGCUGCUGUGGGCAUGUCCCCUUUCUGGUCCUUAGCCACUGAUUUUCAGGGUCGCAGGAGUGUUGCAGUUCUCUGUGCCAAAAUGCUAUUGCUCUCACUUCUCUCUCAACCCAUGGCUAGCAUGAGAUGAAAUGGAAGCAAAUUAUUUGGUAAAACCAUGGGCAGUGCUACUUCCAGAAAAAAGUGGGGGAGAAAAGCAGCUUUGAUGCCAGUUCUCUUGAGUCUGUUUCUCUUUUCCCACUUCGCUUGCCUCUGGAUGAUCACUCAUAGGACAGGUAGCCUAACCACAGAAGUCCUGUGGGUCUUCUCCUACCAGAAGCUGGCAUGAAAGGAGAUGUUCUCUGGUGCAGACCAAAUCCCUAUUCUACUUUGUUGCCAGGGCAGAUUAAGUUAGAAAGGCCAAUGUCCACAAUGGAUGGCAGCAUUUCAUAGCUUCUGUGAGGACGUGCCCAAAUCUAUAAUGGGCAUUAAGAAA